Molecule: unclassified non-coding RNA, 552 nt
Filed under: Hevea brasiliensis (rubber tree)
Lineage: Eukaryota; Viridiplantae; Streptophyta; Magnoliopsida; Malpighiales; Euphorbiaceae
Source: RNAcentral
CUUGCUUACUCUUUUCUUCUUCACUUUCUCAUCGCCCAAACACCACAUCAAGCUUUCCUCCUCCUCCUUCAAGCCUUACUCUCAUUCCUUACCUCAUAGAUAUAUAUAUAUAUGGGUAUAAUUUUUUGCGGCCAUGGCAAGGUCAUUUCUCAAGAGACCCAUUUCCGAAAUCCCAAUUUGGUUGCUGUUUAUCACUUCUCCAUUGUCGUACCUCUUCCCCAAAUGUAUAUAAAAACACUUGAACUUGUUUUUUCCUUGGUGAUCGCAGAUUGGUCAUGAAAUCAGGUCAUCAGUAAUUGUUAUUCGAUUCUCACUAGCUCAGUCAUUAUACUUUCGCUAUCCGCCCUUCUCACAAUGGUAACAUAGAAGAUCAUGCUUCUUUCCUCCUUUAUGAAGCUGCAUUCUAUUGCUGCCAUUGGAAGAUCCACAUUAGGUAUCAUUACUGGCUUUCUUUAAUAAUUGAACCUUAGAAGCUUUGAUCAAGUUUUGUUGCAUCCUCUAAGAUUGAUUAUAUCUCAUUUUGGGCUAAUUUUGAAGACUGGAUUCAUGCAG